GUAGUUAGCCGGGGCUUCCUCCUUGGCUACCGUCACUUUCUUCGUCACCAAGGACAGAGGUUUACAACCCGAAAGCCUUCUUCCCUCACGCGGCGUUGCUGGGUCAGGCUUGCGCCCAUUGCCCAAUAUUCCCCACUGCUGCCUCCCGUAGGAGUCUGGACCGUGUCUCAGUUCCAGUGUGGCCGAUCAGCCUCUCAGCUCGGCUACCCAUCGUUGGCUAGGUGGGCCGUUACCCCGCCUACUACCUAAUGGGACGCGAACCCCUCCUUUAGCGGAUUUCUCCUUUGACCUCUGUGUCAUGCGGCACUGUGGUCUUAUGCGGUAUUAGCACACCUUUCGGUGCGUUAUCCCCCUGUCUGAGACAGAUUGCUCACGCGUUACUCACCCGUCCGCCGCUCAAAUACACUCGGAUUGCUCCUCAUGCAUCUCCGCUCGACUUGCAUGUGUUAGGCACGCCGCCAGCGUCGUCCUGAGCCAUAAUCAAACUACUGA
RNAcentral lists this ribosomal RNA (492 nucleotides) under uncultured bacterium. Its description in RNAcentral is "partial 16S ribosomal RNA". The record is from RNAcentral.